AUAUCAAUGAGCGGAGGAAAAGAAACUAACAAGGAUUCCCCUAGUAACGGCGAGUGAAGCGGCAACAGCUCAAAUUUGAAAUCUGGCCCUCGGGUCCGAGUUGUAAUUUGUAGAGUAUGCUUUUGGCGCGGCGCCUUCUGAGUUCCCUGGAACGGGACGCCACAGAGGGUGAGAGCCCCGUACGGUCGGACGCCAAGCCAGUGUAAAGCUCCUUCGACGAGUCGAGUAGUUUGGGAAUGCUGCUCAAAAUGGGAGGUAAAUUUCUUCUAAGGCUAAAUACCGGCCAGAGACCGAUAGCGCACAAGUA
Molecule: ribosomal RNA, 307 nt
Filed under: uncultured Trichoderma
Lineage: Eukaryota; Fungi; Ascomycota; Sordariomycetes; Hypocreales; Hypocreaceae
Description: partial large subunit ribosomal RNA
Rfam family: Eukaryotic large subunit ribosomal RNA
Source: RNAcentral